RNAcentral lists this long non-coding RNA (835 nucleotides) under Triticum aestivum (bread wheat). RNAcentral describes it as "long non-coding RNA (TAES_LNC021831)". The record is from RNAcentral. Lineage: Eukaryota; Viridiplantae; Streptophyta; Magnoliopsida; Poales; Poaceae.
CCGGGGCUGAUUAUUGCAAGGUCAGUUACCAUGGCGCCCCUUGUUCUUCUACUCUAUGUCCAUAUAUUCCCCCACUCCUACCUCACGUCACGACCUCGCCGCUGCGGAGGACCACUACCAUGACCAUUCGCUGGAUUCAUCAGCUCCCCACCUCCCUCUCUUGGUCGUCCAGAAAAAAACCAAGAGCGCUCGGCACGGGCGACUAUGGGCAAUGUCCACUUUUGAGUUUUUUGUCAGUUAGUAGAAGAUGGCAUCCCCCUGUAGUGGCGUAAAACAGCGGUAGCAGCUGCAAAUCUUCUUUGUCCAAUUUGGACUCCUACUGAUGAUGCUCUCGUGUUUUGUGCAGCUGCCCUCAACCGUAGGAUUUGAGAUUGGUUGUCAAUUUCUCAUGGGUUGAUUUCAUCUAAGUUGCCGCUUUUCCUUACUACAGAUUAUUUGCUGCCUUCUACAUCCGCUCUCCCACCGAAUUACUAAUGGUGUUAGACAUUUUUCUUACUGCUAUUUUUUUGUGCUACCAAAUUGAUGCAGGUGCCAUGAAAAAGGAUUGUCGCUGAUGUUAGUGGUAGGUUGUGUUGGGGAAUUCCUAAUUCCUAGCUUAUCAUUUGCAAUGGCUAUCAGCCAUAUUGUACGUGAAUUCUCGUAUGUCAUCUUAUUAUCUUAAUAUCCAUGUAUAUGUGCCUAUGUUGUAAAUUUCAUGUCCAUCCAUUUUAGCGACAUAAGUGGGUCUUUGUUUAUUCAGGUUCGUACAUUGCAGAACCAACAACAAGUGUUGUACAACAUAAGAAAGUAUUCUCAAUAAAAUAGCACUGCCUAUACAGGUUGAGUGAGCUUUUGG